RNAcentral lists this ribosomal RNA (506 nucleotides) under uncultured bacterium. RNAcentral's name for it is "partial 16S ribosomal RNA". It matches the Rfam family "Bacterial small subunit ribosomal RNA", at positions 30 to 523 of the family's 1533-position model. The record is from RNAcentral.
AUUGAACGCUGGCGGCAGGCUUAACACAUGCAAGUCGAGCGGUAACAGAGAGAAGCUUGCUUCUCUGCUGACGAGCGGCGGACGGGCGAGUAAUGCCUAGGAAUCUGCCUAGUAGUGGGGGAUAACUUGCCGAAAGGUAAGCUAAUACCGCAUACGUCCUAUGGGAGAAAGGAGGGGACCUUCGGGCCUUUCGCUAUUAGAUGAGCCUAGGUCGGAUUAGUUAGUUGGUGAGGUAAUGGCUCACCAAGACCGCGGUCCGUAACUGGUCUGAGAGGAUGAUCAGUCACACUGGAACUGAGACACGGUCCAGACUCCUACGGGAGGCAGCAGUGGGGAAUAUUGGACAAUGGGGGGAACCCUGAUCCAGCCAUGCCGCGUGUGUGAAGAAGGUCUUAGGAUUGUAAAGCACUUUAAGUUGGGAGGAAGAGCAGUUAACUAAUAUUUGACUGUUUUGACGUUACCGACAGAAUAAGCACCGGCUAACUUCGUGCCAGCCGCCGCGGUAA